RNAcentral lists this ribosomal RNA (510 nucleotides) under uncultured bacterium. Its description in RNAcentral is "partial 16S ribosomal RNA". It matches the Rfam family "Bacterial small subunit ribosomal RNA", at positions 28 to 507 of the family's 1533-position model. The record is from RNAcentral.
GACGAACGCUGGCGGCGUGCUUAACACAUGCAAGUCGAACGAAGAGCGACGGAAGCUUGCUUCUAUCCGUCUUAGUGGCGCACGGGUGAGUCACGCGUAAUCAACCUGCCCUUCAGAGGGGGACAACAGUUGGAAACGACUGCUAAUACCGCAUACGAUCUAAUCUCGGCAUCGAGGAUGGAUGAAAGGUGGCCUCUACAUGUAAGCUAUCACUGCAGGAGGGGAUUGCGUCUGAUUAGCUAGUUGGCGGGGUAACGCCCCAUCAAGGCGAUGAUCAGUAGCCCGUAUGAGAGGAUGAACUGCCACAUUGGGACGGUGACACGGCCCAGACUCCUACGGGAGGCAGCAGUGGGGAAUCUUGCGCAAUGGACGAAAGACUGACGGAGAAACGCCGCGUGAGUGAUGACGACCUUCGGGUUGUAAAGCUCGGUUAAUCGGGACGAAAGGCCUUCUUGCGAAUAGGGAGAAGGAUUGACGGUACCGGAAUAGAAAGCCACGGCUAACUACGUG